This 103-nucleotide microRNA precursor is filed under the name Marmota monax (woodchuck). The record is from RNAcentral. Lineage: Eukaryota; Metazoa; Chordata; Mammalia; Rodentia; Sciuridae.
AGUGGGAUAGCUGGAUCAAAUGGUAGUUCUAUUCCAAGUUUUCUGAGGAAUCUCCAUACUGCUUUCCAUAGUGGUUGCACCAAUUUGCAGUUUCACCAGCAAU